RNAcentral lists this ribosomal RNA (241 nucleotides) under uncultured bacterium. RNAcentral's name for it is "partial 16S ribosomal RNA". It matches the Rfam family "Bacterial small subunit ribosomal RNA", at positions 15 to 245 of the family's 1533-position model. The record is from RNAcentral.
GAUCAUGGCUCAGGAUGAACGCUAGCUACAGGCUUAACACAUGCAAGUCGAGGGGAAACGACAUCGAAAGCUUGCUUUUGAUGGGCGUCGACCGGCGUACGGGUGAGUAACGCGUAUCCAACCUGCCCAUCACUUGGGAAUAACCUUGCGAAAGUAAGACUAAUGCCCAAUGACAUCCCACGAAGGCAUCCGAAUGGGAUUAAAGAUUUAUCGGUGAUGGAUGGGGAUGCGUUCCAUUAGG